CCUCGGGAAGGAUCAUUG
Molecule: ribosomal RNA, 18 nt
Filed under: Telipogon andicola
Lineage: Eukaryota; Viridiplantae; Streptophyta; Magnoliopsida; Asparagales; Orchidaceae
Description: partial 18S ribosomal RNA
Source: RNAcentral